GCGGGCGUGGUGGAAUUGGUAGACACGCUAGACUUAGGAUCUAGUGCCGCAAGGUGUGAGAGUUCGAGUCUCUCCGCCCGCA
Molecule: non-coding RNA, 82 nt
Organism: Flavobacteriaceae bacterium TMED145
Lineage: Bacteria; Pseudomonadati; Bacteroidota; Flavobacteriia; Flavobacteriales; Flavobacteriaceae
Source: Rfam